UACAGAGGGGGCAAGCGUUGUUCGGAAUUACUGGGCGUAAAGGGCGCGUAGGCGGCCUGCUAAGUCGGACGUGAAAUCCCUGGGCUCAACCCAGGAACUGCGUCCGAUACUGGUUGGCUUGAAUCCGGGAGAGGGAUGCGGAAUUCCAGGUGUAGCGGUGAAAUGCGUAGAUAUCUGGAGGAACACCGGUGGCGAAGGCGGCAUCCUGGACCGGUAUUGACGCUGAGGCGCGAAAGCCAGGGGAGCAAACGGG
Molecule: ribosomal RNA, 253 nt
Filed under: uncultured bacterium
Lineage: Bacteria
Description: partial 16S ribosomal RNA
Rfam family: Bacterial small subunit ribosomal RNA
Source: RNAcentral